Small nuclear RNA from Propithecus coquereli (Coquerel's sifaka), 164 nucleotides. Its record names the gene U1. It matches the Rfam family "U1 spliceosomal RNA". Rfam says of the family: U1 is a small nuclear RNA (snRNA) component of the spliceosome (involved in pre-mRNA splicing). Its 5' end forms complementary base pairs with the 5' splice junction, thus defining the 5' donor site of an intron. There are significant differences in sequence and secondary structure between metazoan and yeast U1 snRNAs, the latter being much longer (568 nucleotides as compared to 164 nucleotides in human). The record is from Ensembl. Lineage: Eukaryota; Metazoa; Chordata; Mammalia; Primates; Indriidae.
AUACUUACCUGGCAGGGGAGAUACCAUGAUCACGAAGGUGGUUUUCCCAGGGCGAGGCUUAUCCAUUGCACUCCGGAUGUGCUGACCCCUGCGAUUUCCCCAAAUGUGGAAAACUCGACUGCAUAAUUUGUGGUAGUGGGGGACUGCGUUCGCGCUCUCCCCUG